This 23-nucleotide microRNA is filed under the name Danio rerio (zebrafish). Its description in RNAcentral is "dre-miR-730". Its record names the gene dre-miR-730. The record is from miRBase by way of RNAcentral. Lineage: Eukaryota; Metazoa; Chordata; Actinopteri; Cypriniformes; Danionidae. RNAcentral also lists the same sequence under 2 other names.
UCCUCAUUGUGCAUGCUGUGUGU